RNAcentral lists this ribosomal RNA (460 nucleotides) under uncultured bacterium. Its description in RNAcentral is "partial 16S ribosomal RNA". It matches the Rfam family "Bacterial small subunit ribosomal RNA", at positions 338 to 795 of the family's 1533-position model. The record is from RNAcentral.
CCUACGGGAGGCUGCAGUGAGGAAUAUUGGUCAAUGGGCGGGAGCCUGAACCAGCCAAGCCGCGUGAGGGAAGAAGGUACAGCGUAUCGUAACCCUCUUUUGUCAGGGCACAAAGGCGGGGACUAGUCCCCGGAUGAGGGUACCUGAAGAAAAAGCAUCGGCUAACUCCGUGCCAGCAGCCGCGGUAAUACGGAGGAUGCGAGCGUUAUCCGGAUUUAUUGGGUGUAAAGGGCGUGUAGGCGGGGACGCAAGUCAGAUGUGAAAACCACGGGCUCAACCUGUGGCCUGCAUGUGAAACUGUGUGUCUUGAGUACUGGAGAGGCAGACGGAAUUCCUAGUGUAGCGGUGAAAUGCGUAGAUAUUAGGAGGAACACCAGUGGCGAAGGCGGUCUGCUGGACAGCAACUGACGCUGAGGCGCGAAAGCGUGGGGAGCAAACAGGAGUAGAUACCCGUGUAGUC